UCUACGGCCAUACCACCCUGAACACGCCCGAUCUCGUCUGAUCUCGGAAGCUAAGCAGGGUCGGGCCUGGUUAGUACUUGGAUGGGAGAAUCAAAGAGCUGUGAGAG
This is a ribosomal RNA of Ochotona princeps (American pika), 107 nucleotides long. The record is from Ensembl. NCBI's taxonomy places the organism in Eukaryota, Metazoa, Chordata, Mammalia, Lagomorpha, Ochotonidae.